Physeter macrocephalus (sperm whale) is the source of this 450-nucleotide long non-coding RNA. RefSeq lists it as uncharacterized. The transcript is spliced from 3 exons. The record is from RefSeq and is a predicted model, not a curated record. NCBI's taxonomy places the organism in Eukaryota, Metazoa, Chordata, Mammalia, Artiodactyla, Physeteridae.
UACUACGCGCGCUAAACGCCGCGUCGGGGCGGUGAGCGCCUGUCGGGUGGAGUGUUCUCAUCUUCCGAUCCGUGCUCCUCGAGCCAGUGAAGCCCCCCAGGUUGCAGGGCCCGGUCCCCCGGUCCUUGUGGGCGCCCACGCAGGUGGCGCCUUCCCGGCCAGUGUCCGUGCGCUGGAAUUUGAGAAGGAGGCCCAGUGGAGAACGUUGAACCUGGGUAUAGAGACCGUUGGGGUUCCCUCUGCUUGAUCCAAAUGAGACGGGGCUGCUCUGCUUUCUGCCCCGAGGCUCUUCUGACUUUGCCUACCCGAGGCCAGCAGUAGCCCUCUCCGCUCACGCCAUGCACAGCUUUCAAGUGUUGGUCACAUUUUCCUGCUUCCUUUACAUGCAUUAUCAUUUUUUAGAAAUUAAAACAAAUUGAUCUGUAUAGAAUUUAAUUUUUAAAACAUCUU